This 2523-nucleotide unclassified non-coding RNA is filed under the name Leishmania donovani. RNAcentral's name for it is "gene:unknown". The record is from RNAcentral. Lineage: Eukaryota; Euglenozoa; Kinetoplastea; Trypanosomatida; Trypanosomatidae.
CUCCAACGCGGCACUCUGUGUUUUGCAGUACAGCUAUAUAUCUACCACCACCGUCACCUUCAUGGUUGGUGGCUUGCACACGCCCGCGCGUGGAUGCUGACGGAGCACUGCAAGUGCGCAACCACCACACAUUCGAUCACCUUAAGCAACCUCACGAGCUCCGCAUCUUCACGCAUGUGUACGCAUGCACACGGUCGAAAAUACAAAAAAAGGGUAAGAGCGAAUCAUCUACUUCAGUGCCGCAGCUAGACCCCCUCCCCCGCUCUCCCGCCCGCUCUCUACAGGCCGUGUAUAUUAAGCAGCUGUCGUACUGGCGCUUUUGUUUUUUCCGGUCCCACCCCCAUCAAAUCGCUCCCCUUUUUCUGCAUUUUGUCCCUCAGCUCCAACUGGGGCACUGCACGCUAGUGAAAGGACGUCUCAAUGGAUUCCCACGUCACCAGGUAAGCCAGUCAAGCGCAUUGCCUUUACAACACCGACACACAAAAAAGCACACAGACACACAGGUAGGCCGCUGGUUAGUGGCGACCGUGACUUUCGGUGCGUAGGGUGGCCUAUUCGGAGUGCAGCUCUUCAUUUGCAUAUUUUAUCUGCUCUGCGAAUCGACCGAGACCUUUCUCCUCUAAUCUUGCACACUCUCCUUUGCCUUUCGAAAGCUCUCACCCUUUUCUGUUCCCCUUGAAUGUUCUUCGUGUGCUGAGAGGGACGCACAUCACCGCGACUCCGUGCGCCGUGUUGCUCGCACUCGCGCCCUUUGGGGGUGCCGCGGGUCGAACCUACAAAAUCAUGCAGUGGUGCUGCGGGUACAUGACGCGCGACACGGACCCGGAGCACCGCCCAUGGUGACUGGGACGUCUCAUGAGCAUCAGCACCGUCUUUGUUGAUGGCGGCCUCCUUUUCGGCGUGGCCCGUCACUCUUAGCGCGGAGGUGAGCGUGCGCAGUGCAGUGCCUUCGUUGUGACAUCACCCCAAUUCUCACUGGGGAGCCGCGAGAACAGCGCUUGAUGCGCUUUGCACGCUCAGCCACCAGCUUCCUAGCAUACCUCUGCGAUGUAGUGCGCAGCGCAGCGCUUGUGCCGGAUCCACGACUACCUCAGCGGCAGCUUUCGUGUGUGAAGCUUGGCACUUAUCGUUUGACGCGCUCUGGUCAAUUGUCUCGUCUGGAGGACUGCCUCUCCUCUCUUGGCCAUCCGCCGCCGCCGCAUCCGAUGGCCGAGAUGCGGGAGGCGCGUGCCCAAGAGAGUCAGCUGGGUGGGAAAACGAACAAGGAGAGUCGAGUCGAAGUUCUACCUUUUGCGGCGCGUCAUCGUCGCAGACCCAUACCCUCUGCUGGUCUGAGUCGUGUGCUCAGCAGUGCACUUGGUGAGCAUGAAUAAAAUAUGCCAUAGUCGUGUGCUCUCUUGCCUUCCGCACCACUGCCGACCUCUCCGUCGUCAGGCACGCCUUGAGGGUCGUGGUGCUUCGCGAUGUCGGUGAGCCAGCUUCUCUUGCGGCUCAUGCCGGUGCGCUCCGUCAAUGACUCUCUCCCGUGCUGAUCGUCACACUGACUGGAAUGGCAGUGCGUGUCAAGUAGUUUGUACCAUGCAUUGAACUGGCGCACCUACACGUGGUCAGCGUCGUGCUCUGCUGCUGCCGUCUGGUGGUGCUCUCUGAGUGUGCAAAGCCCGCCAUCUCCGCUUCACCUGCAUGACGGGUUCCCCGGGCAUCACGUUCGGUGUCGUGAGCCCCAUCACACACAUAGUGUAGAUUGUGGCUGCAGAGAUGCAAGGUAUCCUCUCGAAGAUUGGCUCGUGGUGGACCGAAAACAAGCGCUGUAAAGGCGCAGUCCAGCCCUUCGGGCGGUUCAAGCCCACCGUCUUCUCUCGCCUCCGAGCCGUAGGGCUCAUUUGUAGCGCAAGAGGCGCCCCCGUUUGCCAUAGGACUCGCAAACAACCGUACACACCGCCGUCGUGAUGUGCUCGAAUGCGGCAUUGCAGAGGCGCAGCUAGAGAACUCGGAACCUUUGUUUUUUUCCUUGGGGGGGGAGGAGGAGGCGGGAGCUGUUCUCUCGUCUUGUGUGGCAGUUCCUUCUGCAAGAGUGCAGUCCUGUGCUGGUCCCAGUCGAUUGCAUCAUACGGUCAUGGGAAGACGUAAAAAGAGAGAAUACGUGCGGAAGGUGAAGAGAAGUGGAAGGCCAGCAGUGCACCCGUCAUGAUUCAGUAGCGCACUGCCGCCCUCAGAUACGUUUUGCCGUUUUGUUUUUCUUUUGGCUUUAUUCUCACUUCCUCCCUUUUCCGCCUUGCCAACGUGGUUGUGACGCCCCUAAUUGACGUUGUGGUGUUGCCGGCUCUUGCCAUUAUGCUUGCCUCGACGUUUUCCACCUCCACAGCGUUCACUGCCUCCUCCUUCCUCGCUCGUUGAAUUCGCCUGUUUUUGAAAUAAAUCCUUCUCCCCGCUGCUGUCGCUGCCUGUUGGUAGCUGUGCACAGUGCUCUGAUGACCCCUCCCCCUUCGUCGAAUCGUUCAAGGGAAGAGGCACCCACAGUAG